Molecule: ribosomal RNA, 497 nt
Filed under: uncultured bacterium
Lineage: Bacteria
Description: partial 16S ribosomal RNA
Rfam family: Bacterial small subunit ribosomal RNA
Source: RNAcentral
GACGAACGCUGGCGGCGUGCCUAAUACAUGCAAGUUGAGCGCUGAAGGUUGGUACUUGUACCAACUGGAUGAGCAGCGAACGGGUGAGUAACGCGUGGGGAAUCUGCCUUUGAGCGGGGGACAACAUUUGGAAACGAAUGCUAAUACCGCAUAAAAACUUUAAACACAAGUUUUAAGUUUGAAAGAUGCAAUUGCAUCACUCAAAGAUGAUCCCGCGUUGUAUUAGCUAGUUGGUGAGGUAAAGGCUCACCAAGGCGAUGAUACAUAGCCGACCUGAGAGGGUGAUCGGCCACAUUGGGACUGAGACACAGCCCAAACCCCUACGGGAGGCAGCAGUAGGGAAUCUUCGGCAAUGGACGAAAGUCUGACCGAGCAACGCCGCGUGAGUGAAGAAGGUUUUCGGAUCGUAAAACUCUGUUGGUAGAGAAGAACGUUGGUGAGAGUGGAAAGCUCAUCAAGUGACGGUAACUACCCAGAAAGGGACGGCUAACUACGUG